AUUGAACGCUGGCGGCAUGCUUUACACAUGCAAGUCGAACGGUAACAGGCCGCAAGGUGCUGACGAGUGGCGAACGGGUGAGUAAUGCAUCGGAACGUGCCCAGUCGUGGGGGAUAACUACUCGAAAGAGUAGCUAAUACCGCAUACGAUCUAUGGAUGAAAGCGGGGGACCGUAAGGCCUCGCGCGAUUGGAGCGGCCGAUGUCAGAUUUGGUAGUUGGUGGGGUAAAGGCUCACCAAGCCAACGAUCUGUAGCUGGUCUGAGAGGACGACCAGCCACACUGGGACUGAGACACGGCCCAGACUCCUACGGGAGGCAGCAGUGGGGAAUUUUGGACAAUGGGCGCAAGCCUGAUCCAGCAAUGCCGCGUGCAGGAAGAAGGCCUUCGGGUUGUAAACUGCUUUUGUACGGAACGAAACGGCUCUGGUUAAUACCCGGGGCUAAUGACGGUACCGUAAGAAUAAGCACCGGCUAACUACGUG
Molecule: ribosomal RNA, 482 nt
Filed under: uncultured bacterium
Lineage: Bacteria
Description: partial 16S ribosomal RNA
Rfam family: Bacterial small subunit ribosomal RNA
Source: RNAcentral